This 218-nucleotide unclassified non-coding RNA is filed under the name Hevea brasiliensis (rubber tree). The record is from RNAcentral. Lineage: Eukaryota; Viridiplantae; Streptophyta; Magnoliopsida; Malpighiales; Euphorbiaceae.
GCGUGGCGUCCUCAGCACGAAUGGAUCACGGCGACGGCGCCCUCAACUCCUUCUAUCACCACCACCACCACAAUCCCAGCUCCUCCGCAGCUUCCUCCGCGGCCGUCAGCGGCAUGUUCUCCUCCGCCGCUGAUGUCCUUUUCCCCCAUGCCGUCAGCGGCAGGGCCUCCGCUGCUCCCGCCCCUGUCCCUACCGAGCCGGUGCGGCGGAAGCGGGGC